GAAGAGUAGUGCUGCUUGGUAGUGCAGUAUGAAGAGGAGGUAGAAACUUCUAAAGCUAAAUACAGACGGAUACCGAUAGAGAAGAAGUAGUGCGAACGAAAGUUGAAAAGAUCUCAUCUAGAGAAUGAAAAGUGAAAGUAUUAGGGCGUAAGCUGAUGACAUCAGACCCGUAUUGAAACACGGACCAAGGAGACUUUGAGUAUAGCGAGGCGAAGGAUGUGAAGUCCCCACCCGCGAGAAAUCUACAAGUUAUACUGAUAGGACCCGAAAGGCAGUGAACUAUACCUGCUCUGCUUGACGCCACGGCAAACCGUGGUUGAGGAGCUAAGUCGUAUUGAUGUUCAACUCAUUGACAGGAAGUGGGUAUAGGGGCGAAAGACCAAUCGAACUGCCUGGUAGCUGGUUCCGGCCGAAAUGUCUCUCAGGACAGCGGUGUCUGCGAAUAGGAAGAUGCGGUAGAGAGGAUGUCGACCUUGUCAACAAACUCCGAAUGCGUCAUUGUGUUGCGAUUGCAUCCAACAUGAUCAUCUAUAAGACACUAGUGGGCGCCUUGUGGUAAGCAUGCGGCGCAAAAAGGGAUGAACCUAGCAGUGGGGUAAGGUGCCUAAAGGAAAACAAAGAGAAAAAGCGUUUGGCAGAUUAGGACAGUGGGGCGGUGGCCAUGGAGGUCGGCAUCCGCUAAGAAACGUGUUACAACGUACCCACCGAAUCUGCGAAUGCUGAAAAUGGAUGGCGCUUAUUUCCAUACCGAGCCCCACAUGGUACAGCCACGUAGGCCGGCACGUGUGCAUCUGAGAAGACCCGCCGUGAGGUGUGUUGGAGAUGUUCACGGAGCAGAUCUUGGAAGUAGUAGCAUCAUUUGUAUGUGCCAAUGGAGGCGGGUUUGUCUUUUAAUAAAAGGAAGUGAUACGAGCCUAGUAAAAGGGAUAUAGUAGAUAUUCUAUAUAGAUGUACCUAUGUGGCAACCCGAAGCGACCCCCACGACGUGUGGCCGGGGAGAUUUUCGGGGACCCCCAAUCUUAUAACCGUCCCCUGAAACUAAAAACAAUUGGGCGGUAAAAUUAGGAACUCCUCUUACCAACCCAACGGUUUCUUGGG
Molecule: non-coding RNA, 1098 nt
Filed under: Enterocytozoon bieneusi H348
Lineage: Eukaryota; Fungi; Microsporidia; Enterocytozoonidae
Description: Eukaryotic large subunit ribosomal RNA
Rfam family: Eukaryotic large subunit ribosomal RNA
Source: Rfam by way of RNAcentral